Long non-coding RNA from Numida meleagris (helmeted guineafowl), 1629 nucleotides. RefSeq lists it as uncharacterized. The record is from RefSeq and is a predicted model, not a curated record. The transcript is spliced from 3 exons. Lineage: Eukaryota; Metazoa; Chordata; Aves; Galliformes; Numididae.
UGCAAAAAUCCCUGCAAUGCUUGUGCACUGAAUCUCCUUUAUAAGAGCAAACGGAGCAAGAUGCUAGCAGGCCUCCUGAGCUUCAUGUCGGAAACUUUUUCACAGGAGCCCAAGUCUAUUGUGUACGAUAAACCAAGGGGUGCCGAAGGAGUUGGUUGCUAUGGUGGCAUCUCAUAAAUCAUCAAUUAUUGUCUGUUAUUAUGGAGGUGACAGCCUCAUAAAGAGAUUUGCAUUUUCGGCUAAUUUUAAGAUUUUUUCUGCAGACAUCAUUUGCUUUGUAAAAGAAAUGUCAUGACAACCAUAGAACACUUAAGCUUGUUAUCGGGUAGUCAGGCAUUCACUUGGUCCCUGUCGCUUUGGCAUUUGAGCAUCGCAGCCUCUUUUGCAUUAUUGAGUAGUUUAUCUUUACAGUUCAUAAAUAUAUUUCUAAACACGGGGACGGCAUAAUAGCAGAAUGGCGGCAAACGCAACCAGGGCUCCUGGUUGCCACGGCAACCUAAACUGAUCAAUUCCCUGUCACCAUUCUAAAAGAGGCACCACUCUCCUGCGGCCCCAAACACUAAUUACAAAUGCAGGCCCUUCGCUGGCAUGUUCAGCUUACAGAUUAAAGCAGUUCAUGCCUAAUUUAUCAUUUAACAUGUCCUCCCACAUUUGUAGUGCCGUGCAGAAUGAAUAAUAACUUCACUUGUUUACAGCAUUUUCAACUUAAUUUCACUAAUUAGUUUUGCAGUUGCAGGAAUUUCCAAGGGCUGCUAAGGCAGGCCCCGCACAUAGGUCCAGUGCAGGGCCUGUGCACAGGUCAUUGCCAAUCCCUCCAAGCGCAGCUGGUAAGUGAUAAGUUUCACAUGCAGGUUCCCUUCUUUCCCAAAAGCAUAGCUUUUCAAGCAGCUGGGAUUACCGAAGCAAAAAUACCAUGCCUUCCUCCUGCAAAACGGGCCCAAGUGGUGACACCUCGCUGGCCUCUGCCAUUGCACUUCCCAUCAACCUUCUAUUGAGUACAUGAGAUUCUGUCAUGUAGGAAUUAUGUUCAUAAGUUCACUGAUAAAAACAGGCCUUCACCAAAAAAGCUAAAGGAAUCAAAUCUGUCCGCACCUUGCUACUGCUCAGAAUGUGGAUCGCCAUGAAGACCCACGAAUGCUCUCCAGGUUCAUGCCUCACUUUAUGCUGCAGACUUUUAAGUUCAGGCGGGAAUACAAGACGAAGUCCAUUAUCUGAUCAGUGGCCACCCAGCCUACAUUCUGCUUCCCCAGAAUAAGUAAGUAUGGAUGUGAUGUCCUGCAUCUUGAAGGAAUGAACUGUCCUAAUUUGGGAAAAAGAAUAAAAAGAACCGCAGCAAGAAAGAGAGCUUGCGUGGUCGAAGUCGGCAAUCCAUGUGUCUCAUGGCAUAGAAUCUAGAAAAGAAACUGUCAAUGCUAAGCAUACAAAGAAUGUCCUACUUUGAAGAAUACUGCACUAUUAGAUAUAUCAGACAUUUCAAAUUUCAGUUUCCAAAAAAUUUGUUAGGCUAUUCAGAAGGAAAAAGAUUUCAAAUCUCUUUUUAGAAUUGAUAGCCAUCUCUGUGACUAUGGCACUUUCUCCACAGACAUUAACAAAGCACACCCAAAAGAGAUGAUUAAAAUGGUUACUAAA